This 4398-nucleotide long non-coding RNA is filed under the name Mytilus galloprovincialis (Mediterranean mussel). Lineage: Eukaryota; Metazoa; Mollusca; Bivalvia; Mytilida; Mytilidae. The record is from RNAcentral.
GCUUAUUCAGUUAUAAGAGGAACUGUUCAAAACAACAGGAUCCUUGCAAACGGUGAUAUUGAGUAUGAUGUGAAAGUGGAAGACAACUUUAAGGUAUUAUACAAUAUGAUACUCUGUUUACUAUACAAUGAUUAUAAGGAGCUAGAGUUGCUCAUCCUUAAUUGAAGUAGAGUGACCUGCAGUUGUUUCCAUCGCCAUUACAUGUAUUAGGUUUCUAGGGAACCAAUUGUCUUUUGACAGUUUCAUUAAUCAUAACAUGCAUAACUUAUCUUCUCUUUUAUAAUUACUAAUUAGUAGAACAUGCUUGUAGUAUCGCAAGUUUAAAAGAAAUGAUAAUUUUUAUGGGAAUAUUCCGAAGGAAAUCAGUCUCCAGUGUAAUUUAAACUUAUUCAUCAGAGACCUAUAAAUAAAAACAAUGUUUAUAAAAGCAGGAACAACACUGGUUCGACUCAUUAUAUGUUUGAACAAGAUCAAAAGGGAAACAACCGCCCUUAAAACUCAACAUAAAAACAAAAAGACUGAGUAAAAAAAAUAUGAAGGAUUCCCAAAUUCCAGUGGGAUUCAUGCAUUGUUGUUACAAUAACAGUUCAACAGAUUAUAUUGUCUUGCAAGUCCAAAAAUGAAUGAAAACCAGCAGACUUUAUUACACAGUCUCAACUAAGCUUCUGAUUGGUUGGUCCUCAAUUCAUUUUUGGAGGUGACAUAAUAUGAUCAAUCUCAGUCACCUGCUAUGUUCAUCAUUGAAUGGGGGCUAUUUAGUAGGAUCAACACACAUAAGAUGUUGGCCAUUUUCUUAGUCAUCAACCAACUGAAACUGGUAGUCGCUCUAAUUGGGUAACCUGGUGAUAUGUUAUGAUCUUAACUACAUGUAUUGAUAAAUCAGUUGUAAACACGAAAUCCUGUAUUUCAACUUAAACUUAACAUUAAAAUCUCUUUAACCAGCAUAGUAAGUUAUAAAGGCCUCACUCAAAAAAUAUAAUAAAACGAUUUAAAGGAAAACCUAGCGGUAUGAUUUAUGUAAAAAGCAAUAAACAAAAACAACUUUUUUAUAAAUCAAAGAAAGGCAACUUCCGAAUUACAGGCUCAUACCUUGGGAAAGAUGCAUACCAAAGUGGCGGGGUUUAACAUGUUUAAAAGCUCUUAAACUUCCCCUUUACUUGGGAUAGUUGUGUGAUAGAAAUCGUAAGAACAAACGACACUAAUCAGAAAGGUUUCAAGCAAACAAAUCCAUAAAAAAUCCAAACAAAAAUCUGUGAUAAUGUUAUGAAAGGAUUAAGGACGUUUUUAGAAAUAAUUAGAAAUUGAAAUAACGUACAUCUGAGUAAAACAAUAGUAUAUGUUUAUAGUUUAUUAUGAUAAUUAAAAGUAAAUGGGAUAUAAAUUUCAAAUAAAUCAGAAGAAAAUACACAAGUAAAAUUAAUACAGAUUCGUAAGAAUAACGAACUUUAUCUUAGACGCAAGAUAAUCAAUAAUAGUACAAGUCAAGUACCUUAUUAAAUAAAUUAUUUGGCACGAUAAAUGAAAAUUAUGAGGUCAGUAAAUUGUCGGCCGGAGGUAUGAUGAAUUGCUAUGAAAUCCAAGGUUAUUAGUGGCUUUGAACUAGCUGUCAGAUAACUGCGAGUACUCUCAGAUCUGUUCAUUGUGUCUUUUUGUGUCGGGAUGAAUAAGUACCCGGCCACGUCCACUUGUAUUUUUUGUCCAUCUGAUGAGUUAAUGCUUUUUCAACUGAUUUUUAUAGUUCGUUCUUAUGUUGUACUGUUAUACCACUGUCCCAUGUUAGGGGGAGGGUUGGGAUCCCGCUUACAUAUUUAACCCCGUCACAUUAUUUAUGUAUGGAGCCUGUAAUUCAGUGUUUGUCGGGGUUUUUUUUAUGUGUUACAUAUUUGUUUUUCGUUUAUUUUUUAUAUAAAGAAGGCCUUUUGUUUUCUCGUUUGAAUUAUAAUUACAUUGUCUUAUCGGGGCUUUUAUAGCUGACUAUGCGGUAUGGGCUUUACUCAUUGUUGAAGGCCGUACGGUAACCUGUAGUUGUUACUGUCUGUGUCAUUUUGGUCACUUGUUGACAGUUAUCUCAUUGGUAAUCAUACCACAUCUUCUUUUUUUAUAUUAUAGCCAUAUUCACAAAAUUUGUAGAUACUACAGAAUCAUGAAUAUUCAGUAAAUUUAGGCACACAAUUUUGUUAUUAAUAACCAAUCAAAAGACUGAGAUACGAAGAUUGACGUAUACAAGAUAAUAAUUAAAAUUUAACAAAUCUUUAAUUAUUAUUUAUUAUAAAAAUCCGAAAUUGAAAUUCUUCCAAAAAUAUUCUUCUAUUUGAUUUAAGAAAUAAUAAUCCUAAUGCUUUUCAGAAAUAAAUAAAUACAUUUUGCAUAUUAUGAAGCAAAAAUGUUUUGGCAACAAAUUCCAUAGUUUGCAAAGAAGCUCAAUCUCGGCUGAGAACAGGAAUGUCGGGUAAUGAAUAGUGACUAUAAAAGCAAAUAUAAGUCUACUGCCCCUACAUUAUAAUCCCCAGUAGUCCCCAGAUGUCCAGACAUCAUUCUACCUCCAUAAAACGUAAACUAUGCAAACGAGAGAAGGGAAAUCAACAUCAUGUUCAUCAAUGUAGGAAACCCUCAAAGACAAACAUAGUACCAACAUCAACAAGUGAUCUCCAUGUGAAGGACCCACCAACAAAAACCUUAAAAGUAUCAUCACAACAAUUACCUUUAUCAGGAACGCUCCAAGCUAAACAUUUGAAAUACGAAGAUGUAUAAGUACCGAAACCGUUGACGAGCUAUAUGACAAAAAUACCUAAACUAAAAAGCCAAAUUCAUCUGAAGUCAACUUUGCCUGAGGUAGUACUGAGAGUACUUGCGGAUACUGGAAGCUUAUUGAACACCAACACCAACACAAAUAAAACUUUUAAUAUUUAUGAGAUAAGAAACAAAUGUAUCAGACGCUGGUUUAUAGUUUAUAUACUAUGAAUUGUAUAGACUAGUACAAAAAGCAAUAAUUAUUCAAUUAAAACUGCCAACAACAUUGAAAUAAAGGAUAUUUCACUAGACUAUUAUCACCAUAUUGGGUGAAGGGUGACCAGAAUAAUUUUAAUCAAUACCAAAAAUACAACGGAUAUAGCAUAUACAAUUAUAUUCAGAUUGAUAGAUGUAAUUGGGGAAAUUAAAUUUCGGAAAAUAAAUGAUGAAAUAGCCAUCACUAAUAUAGUUCCGCUUACAUAUAUAUUUGGAAAAAAGCCCCAAAAAGUGGAAGUUGACGAAAAAGUCAUGGGCAAACGAAACACAUAAAAACCACUUCAACAACACACUAUUUUUGUAAAAACGGACAUCCAAGGUUGAUAAGUUUUUCUUAGAUAUGCAUAGGUCAAUGAAAUAUACGUCAUUUGUAAGCAGGACCAAAAUUAGUUAUGAUAAAACAUAUUUGUUUAAUUCCAUAAUUCGCAUUUUUCCCAUUCUAUUUGCAAAAUUACAGAUGACCCUAUUAUUUGUAAAUAGUUUGAUGAAACUCCGUUCAUCGACAGAUUCAUGUGGAGUGAUUCUAAAUACAGGAUCUGAAUAUUUGAUUUCAGGUGAGUAUUUCAAUUACUUCUCAUUAAUUUUCAUUGUGGAAUGCAUUUUUGACAUUUGCAAACACAAUUUAUUUUAAAUAUUUUGUGCAACAAACUCAGCUAAAAUAUGUUAAUACAGAAACAAUUAAAGCUAUGACUUUGUCAUCAUACAAUAAAUUUCUUCGACAUUUGAACAACAUUUGUAAAAAUGUUAUCGCUCAGCUAAAUAGAUAUACCAUGUAAUGUUUGUUUUCCGCUUGUUCAAUAUUUCUGUUCAAAAUAUCAAUUAAAUCGAAUUUAACGGACUUCUAAACAACGCAGAUAGAAAUGAAGGGAUACACACAGAUACAUAUAUACCUAUAGAUGUGUUAUAUUUUCAAAUUUCAGGAGGAGUUAGGAAGGCUUCACCAAAUGGGAGAGUUUUCUAUACACAUCUCUGUUUUUGGGUUAACAAUUGGCAGAAUAUUCCAAAAAAUACACAAACAGCUUUAAAAACCAGAACUUUUACUACAUGUUAACCAGAAAAGCGCUUCGGACACAAAAAAAAAAUAUAUUAAACGUGUUGUUUUCAAAUUUUUAAUCGUUAUAAAGAAGAUUUGUUUAGUGACCGUAAAGUGCAAAUACUACGUAUUACAAAUAAUUCACUCCAAAUGUAUUAACUCAAAUAUGAUCAAUAGUUUAAGCAAAACAGUAUUAAAUAAUAAGUAAAAUUUGUAAGAUUAAUGUCGUCUGGAUAUGAAAUUUGAACAUGUAUAAAAGGUUACCCUGACUAUUUGUUUCUCUAAUCAUUCACGAUUGAUAAUUUAUAAUAAAAGUAAAAGCAUCUAACACAAACGACAUCAUCCUUAUAAAUUAAAAA